UGGCGGACGGGUGAGUAAUGUCUGGGAAACUGCCCGAUGGAGGGGGGUAACUACUGGAAACGGUAGCUAAUACCGCAUAACGUCGCAAGACCAAAGAGGGGGACCUUAGGGCCUCUUGCCAUCGGAUGUGCCCAGAUGGGAUUAGUUAGUAGGUGGGGUAACGGCUCACCUAGGCGACGAUCCCUAGCUGGUCUGAGAGGAUGACCAGCCACACUGGAACUGAGACACGGUCCAG
Molecule: ribosomal RNA, 235 nt
Filed under: uncultured bacterium
Lineage: Bacteria
Description: partial 16S ribosomal RNA
Rfam family: Bacterial small subunit ribosomal RNA
Source: RNAcentral